RNAcentral lists this non-coding RNA (29 nucleotides) under Mus musculus (house mouse). The record is from RNAcentral. Lineage: Eukaryota; Metazoa; Chordata; Mammalia; Rodentia; Muridae.
UUUUAUAUAAUGUGCAAAUGAUUAAUAAU